Balaenoptera ricei (Rice's whale) is the source of this 2594-nucleotide long non-coding RNA. RefSeq lists it as uncharacterized. The transcript has 2 exons. Lineage: Eukaryota; Metazoa; Chordata; Mammalia; Artiodactyla; Balaenopteridae. The record is from RefSeq and is a predicted model, not a curated record.
GGAGGGGGGAGGGGCUGGGCCGCUCUCUGCCGGGGUGCGGCUCGCCAGGUCCCCUUGCUCUUCGCGACCCUCCCUUUUUUGUUCCUUUCCCUUCCGGUAUCCUCGCCACCCCCAGCCCCCCGUUUCGUGGGGCGAGCACUGCCCGCCCGCCGCCCAGCGCUUCCGUCCCGCGGGUGUCCAGGCCAGAGAGCCGGCCUCCAGCUGCUUUUUGGUGACUCCGAGGCGCGCAUGCUCAGCCGGGCCUUCCUGGGCCCCCGCCCCCCCCCUUCCCGACUCCCUUCUUCCCGGUUCCGUGCCCCCAGCCCCGGGAUCGAGUAGGCACCGGGGCGCAGGGACCCGCGCACCUGGCGGCGGGCGCGGCGCGUCCCGUGUGCGCCGUGGGUCCCAUGGCCGAGCUCGGCCCGGAGCGCAGGACUUGGCCGCGAGCGCUCCGUGUCCCGGGCCCGCCCACGUGAUCCGGGGUGUGGCGUCCCCUCCCUCCCUAAUCCGCUGAAAGCCCUGGCGCCUCCGGGGAACUGAUCUGGCUGGCCACCAGGAUGUGAAUCCAGACUCACGAGGGUCCAGGAUGCCAGACUUCUACUCUAUGGCCAAGGGGAGAAGCGUUUAAAUGUGUUGGCCUCGUUGGACCCUCAGCCGACUUUCUGUGUGUGCGUCUGUUUGCGGGCCGGUGGGAGUUUGCCUGGUGGUCAAUUCCAGAUCCCCCUCCCCAUGAGCUGCCCGCCAGUUCUUUUCUUUUUACCUUUCCAACUCAUUUCUGCAUGUUUACCAGAUGGUGAUUGGAAGUCCGUGUUAACCAAAAGCCUGGGGCGUAACGGGGUGUUGGAAUUUCCAGAAAUGGGGCUGGAGAUUCUGUUUGGGGCAGAGACUUUUGCCUUUUCAUGGGUAGAUUUAGUUGGCUUGUUUUUGACGGGGUGAUGGCUUUAGCUGGAUUCAUUCUUGGGCGUUGUUUAUUGCUUCACUCUUUGUCCUAGGUGACUGAUGAUUCUAGAGGCGCUUUUAUCAGUGGAAGACUUCUGGGGAAAUACCACACAGAUUGAGGCUUGGAGGGAGGGGCAGGAAGCCAGGAGCCCAGGAGUAGCUUUGCAUGGAGUUUGGCAAGGGUGGAGACCAGAUCUGAUCCGUUGAAGAAAUUCUACAUUGGAGGCAGUCAAGAUUCCCCAAAAAUGUGCAGAACAGGAGCCCUGGGGACACUUGGGCCAAGUACCCAAACAAAAUACAGGCUGUCCUGAGGGUUUUGGAAUGGCAAAGAGGGAUGGGGGCCAGGGAGCUGCUGCCCCGAGACGUAGUAUUUGGGGGAGGUUGCAUAAGCAGGUAAGAAAGAACCAGGCAUGGCUUUGUUGACAUAAGAGAAGCCAUUUUUGGCCUGAGCCAUUUUGGGAUCUAAGCCUGGCCACCAUGCUUGCCCUUGAACAGGUCUUGGUAAUGAAUGAUUUUUUUUUUAAUUAAUUUUUAUUGGAGUAUAGCUGCUUUACAGUGUUGUGUUAGUUUCUGCUGUACAGCAAAGUGAAUCAGUUUUACGUAUACAUAUAUCCACUCUUUUCUGGAUUUCCUUCCCAUUUAGGUCACCAGAGAGCACUGAGUUCCCUGUGCUCUACAGUAGGUUCUCAUUAGUUAUCUAUUUUAUACAUAGUAUCAAUAGUGUAUAUAUGUCCAUCCCAAUCUCCCAAUUCAUCCCACACCCCCCUUCCCCCUUGGUAUCCAUAUGUUUGUUCUCUACAUCUGUGUCUCUCUUUCUGCUUUGUAAAUAAGUUCAUCUGUAUCUUUUUUCUAGAUUCCACAUUUGUUUUUCUCUUUUGGACUUGCUUCACUUUGUAUUACAGUCUCUAGGUCCAUCCAUGUCUCUGCAAAUAGCACAAUUUCGUUCUUUUUUAUGGCUGAGUAAUAUUCCAUUGUAUAUAUGUACCACAUCUUCUUUGUCCGUUCUUCUGUUGAUAGACAUUUGGGUUGCUUCCAUGUCUUGGCUAUUGUAAAUGGUGCUGCAGUGAACAUUGGGGGGGGGGGGUACAUGUCUCUUUUUGAAUUAUGGUUUUCUCUGGCUAUAUGCCCAGGAGUGGGAUUGCUGGAUCAUAUGGUAGUUCUAUUUUUAGUUUCUCGAGGAACCUCCAUCCUGUUCUCCAUAGUAACUGCACCAACUUAACAUUCCCACCAACAGUGUAGGAGGGUUCCUUUUUCUCCACACCUUCUCCAGGAUUUAUUGUUUGUAGAUUUUUUGCUGAUGCCCAUUCUGACCAUGAGGUUAUAACCUCAUUGUAGUUUUGAUUUGCAUUUCUCUAAUGGUCAUUAAUGAUCUUAAGGGAACCAAGGAGCAAACUGUUAUCAGGCAAGAGAAGGAACAAUAGCAAAGAUAACAAACCAGUGGUAAAGUCUCCCAGUUCUGUUUCAGUGGUGAAGAUUAGUCUGAAGCCUCAACUACCAGAUCCACUGGGACCUAAAGGAGGAGGAUGAUAUAGACCUUUUCUGACCCUGUGACUUCAAUCAAGCCCCCUCAUGAAUAUGCAUGUACCCUGAGAUUAAAGCUUCCCCGGGAAACACUGCUUUGGGAAAGGUCCCCUGUGUUCUCCCUACUUGCUGCAAAUGAUAAAUCCUUCUCCUGA